Long non-coding RNA from Pan troglodytes (chimpanzee), 358 nucleotides. RefSeq lists it as uncharacterized. The transcript is spliced from 2 exons. The record is from RefSeq and is a predicted model, not a curated record. Lineage: Eukaryota; Metazoa; Chordata; Mammalia; Primates; Hominidae.
UAACAGGGGUCUUUGUGGGCACUCUGCUUGCCCAAGACACUGGGGAGAAGUGGAAGUUGAGAGCAGGGCAGCGCAUGGGGAGUGAGGUGAGAAAAUACGCAGGAAACACUUAUUUCUCUAUGAAAAUAUGAGUCUGAAGAAAGUCAAGAGACUCUACAAACAUUUCUGCAGCCCUCUAUUGGAGAUUUGCAAAGGUCUGCAUGUGCACCCCUUUGGACGUCAAGGGCUUACUGAAUACCAUUUCCACACGGUCUAUCGCUAUGUCAGAGGGCAACUGCUCCACCAUCAUUUCUGAUCCACAGACCUGUUAGAUGUUAGUCUGGAGAAGGAGAAAUAAAACUCAAUGCUGUUAAUUGCA